CGCGGAGACGCCCUUGCCCCACCGGAAACGGGCUGCACGGAGGAGCCGCGAGCGACGGGCCCCCGGUGACAGCGAGCGCGGGUGUUACCGAGUCCAAGCUCCUGCUGCAGGACAGGCCAGUGAAUCCGAGAGAUGACUUGUUGGGGCAAGGAGUAACGACUUAUUUGGAGAGACAGCAACCCGAGAAGAUGGUGGACUCCUGCCCCCCAAGGAACCAGCUGCCUGCGUUGGAAUUCAGGCUUCUUUUAUACUAAAACGGGAGAGAGCAAAGUCAAACAUGUCCUGGUUCUGGUCAGCUUCCUCUUCCUCCCUGCAGCCAGUCACAGGACUUCUCUGGUGGUGCAGUGGUUAAGAAUCCGCCUGCCAAUGCAGGAGACACGGGUUCAAGCCCUGGUCCGGGAAGAUCCCACAUGCCGUGGAGCAACUAAGCCCGUGUGACACAACUACUACUGAGCCUGCGCUCUAGAGCCCACGAGCCACAACUACUGAAGCCUGCACACCCUAGAGCCCGUGCUCCGCAACAGGAGAAGCCACGGCAGUGAGAAGUCCGUACUCGCCACAACUAGAGAAAGCCAGUACGCCGCAACGAAGACCCAAUG
Long non-coding RNA from Physeter macrocephalus (sperm whale), 599 nucleotides. RefSeq lists it as uncharacterized. The transcript is spliced from 3 exons. The record is from RefSeq and is a predicted model, not a curated record. NCBI's taxonomy places the organism in Eukaryota, Metazoa, Chordata, Mammalia, Artiodactyla, Physeteridae.